This 1129-nucleotide long non-coding RNA is filed under the name Homo sapiens (human). Its description in RNAcentral is "HSALNT0399898". Lineage: Eukaryota; Metazoa; Chordata; Mammalia; Primates; Hominidae. The record is from RNAcentral.
UGGACUUGCAAGAUGGCCUCACUAACAUGGCUGGCAAGCUGGUGUUGACUGUUGGCUUGAAGCUCAGCUGGGGCUGUUAACCAGUGGCCUCACUUCCUUUCUGCUUGGCCUCUCCACAUGGCUAGAUUGGACUUCUCACAGGGAGGCAGUCUCUGGAUAUUCAAACUUCUUACAUGGUGGCUGGCUUCUUCUAAAAUACAAAAAUGAAAGCUGCCAGGCCUUUGUAAGGCUUAGAAUUGAACUGGCACCCUGUCACUUCCUCCAUGAUCUAUUGGUUAAAGAAGGUCACAGAACCAGCCCAGAUUCAAGGAGCGGGGAACAAUCCAAGGACAUGAAUAUUGCUGUAUUUCCGGAACUGGAGCAAGAAUCAGUGUUGAGAGGUAAGGGGAGAAGUUCCGUAAAGAUAGAUUCAGCAUCUCAGAGAUUUCAAAGGAAGGUCACCUGUUUGUUUGCCAAGGGAUUGGUAGCCGACUUCCCGUGACUGACCAGCCUCUCAUUAGCUCUGCCUGACUGCAGACCCUCCAGCCCUGACAAGUCCUCCAGCAGCUCGUUGGCCUGAGCACCCACUCCUGCCUCUGCUAAGAAAACCAACCACCAGGACUCCCAGAUAGUAUCAAGAAACUGAAACUCACCAGAUCACUGCCUCUGGACCAUGAGAUGUCAGAUCCCUCACCUGUCACGAUUGCCUAACUGACCACCUGCUUCCUGUUGACCAUCUCCUCUUCCCUACCCUCCUUAGUUCUUGUUUUCCCAUACAUUGUUACAUUUCUUCCUUGCUCUAUAAACCUCUAAUUACAGUCAGUUGGGGAGAUGGAUGUGGGACUGAUCUCCCAUCUCCUUGGCUGCAGCACCCAAUUAAACCUUCUUUCCUGGCAAUACUCAUUGUCUCAGUGAUUGGCUUUCUGUGUGGUGAGCAGCAGGACGUAGGCCAAACCCCUGGUAUUUCAGUAACAUUUCCUUCUUGGAACACAGUCCCAUAUUGUAAGGAACCCAACCCACAUGGAGAGGCCAGGUGGAAGAGAGUGGAGGCACUCAGUCUAUGGUCCCAGCUUAGUUCCCAACUAACAGCCAGCAUCAACCACCAGCCAUGUAAGCUCUCCACUGUGGACAUUCAGCUCAGCCAAGGCCC